UGAACUUCUAAAAUUUGCGGAUUGGACGAUUAUUAAAAGUUUCUUUUGUAUUUAUAAUAACUAUUUGGUUACAUGUGUGUAAAUAAAAUGUAUAGAGAGUAUGAUGUGUGUAAUAAUCGCGUGCGAAUAAGAGAGUUCCAAGAAAGUAGUAGAUAAGUGACGCCUCUUUCCUCUCGUGCUUUAACGUGAAACGGGAAUCGCAUUUAUCCUCUCCGGCAAUUAAAUUUAUAGAAGCAGAAACACAGAAGCUGAUGUGUAAGUUAUGUAUAUAUUAUAUAUACUAAGUUUGAAGCCGUAGUGAUGUGGAUUGUGAUCAAGAUUAUGGUGUUUCCUUUGAAUAAUAACAGCAGCUAUAAAUAUGGACGCAUUUUAUUGUCAUGAAUUCCAUUUGAUGUGUUUAUAAAAGCUGGAAUACAUAUAUGACGGCAUCACUUACGCAAUUAAUCCAGAUUACCGUGUGAGAAAAAAGAGUAUAAUGGUGCUGGAGAGGUAACUGGGGAAAGGCCUCGACCGUUGAUCAUCGUCGUUGAUCAUCCACACGGCUGUAUUGGCAAUAACAGCAUAAGCAGGAACGGCAAUAGCGAGUGGAAGCAGUGGUAAGGAGCUAGCCUGAAGGCCUAAAAGUAAGCUUGACACAUGCAAACCAGUUUAAGUUGAACGGACAGUUCCGGACUCUAACAUCUACCAACAGACAACUUACUUCUAUUAUAUUAUGUACAGAUAUUAUUAGUAGAUUUCGAAGAAAUCUUAUUGCAUUUAU
This 760-nucleotide long non-coding RNA is filed under the name Cotesia glomerata. Its description in RNAcentral is "uncharacterized LOC123260835, transcript variant X2". The record is from RNAcentral. Lineage: Eukaryota; Metazoa; Arthropoda; Insecta; Hymenoptera; Braconidae.